GACGAACGCUGGCGGCGUGCUUAACACAUGCAAGUCGAACGGAAAGGCCCUGCUUUUGUGGGGUGCUCGAGUGGCGAACGGGUGAGUAACACGGGAGUAACCUGCCCUUGACUUUGGGAUAACUUCAGGAAACUGGGGCUAAUACCUGAUAGGAGCUCCUGCUGCAUGGUGGGGGUUGGAAAGUUUAGGCGGUUGGGGAUGGACUCGCGGCUUAUCAGCUUGUUGGUGGGGUAGUGGCUUACCAAGGCUUUGACGGGUAGCCGGCAUGAGAGGGUGACCAGCGACAAUGGGACUGAGAGACGGAGCAGACUCCUACGGGAGGCAGCAGUGGGGAAUAUGGCACAAUGGGCGGACGCCUGAUGCAGCAACGCCGCGUGCGGGAUGACGGCCUUCGGGUUGUAAACCGCUUUCGCCUGUGACGAAGCGUGAGUGACGGUAAUGGGUAAAGAAGCACCGGCUAACUACGUG
This 468-nucleotide ribosomal RNA is filed under the name uncultured bacterium. RNAcentral describes it as "partial 16S ribosomal RNA". It matches the Rfam family "Bacterial small subunit ribosomal RNA", at positions 28 to 507 of the family's 1533-position model. The record is from RNAcentral.